AUCACUAAGCGGAGGAAAAGAAACUAACAAGGAUUCCCUUAGUAACGGCGAGUGAACCGGGAAGAGCCCAGCACCGAAUCCCCUGCAUAGACUGUAGCGGGAACUGUGGUGUUUAGGAGAGCCUGUGGAGCGGGAGGAGGCGUCCGAGUCCCCAUGAACGGGGCUUUCGCCAGAGCGGGUGUCAGUCCUCUAGGACGCAGCCUUCCCGUUGCUCAGUACCUCCUAGGAGUCGGGUUGUUUGAGAUUGCAGCCCAAAGCGGGUGGUAAACUCCAUCUAAGGCUAAAUACUGGCACGAGACCGAUAGCAAACAAGUACCGUGAGGGAAAGUU
This 330-nucleotide ribosomal RNA is filed under the name Pseudopolydora arabica. RNAcentral's name for it is "partial 28S ribosomal RNA". It matches the Rfam family "Eukaryotic large subunit ribosomal RNA", at positions 42 to 365 of the family's 3401-position model. The record is from RNAcentral. Lineage: Eukaryota; Metazoa; Annelida; Polychaeta; Spionida; Spionidae.